CUUUGUUUUUAAUUGAUAUGAAGAGCUUGCUCUGAUUUGAUUCCCUUUAAGAAAGAGUGGCGAACGGGUGAGUAACACGUGGGUAACCUACCUCUUAGCAGGGGAUAACAUUUGGAAACAAGUGCUAAUACCGUAUAACACUAACAACCGCAUGGUUGUUAGUUGAAAGAUGGUUCUGCUAUCACUAAGAGAUGGACCCGCGGUGCAUUAGCUAGUUGGUAAGGUAAUGGCUUACCAAGGCGAUGAUGCGUAGCCGAGUUGAGAGACUGAUCGGCCACAAUGGGACUGAGACACGGCCCAUACUCCUACGGGAGGCAGCAGUAGGGAAUCUUCCACAAUGGGCGCAAGCCUGAUGGAGCAACGCCGCGUGUGUGAUGAAGGGUUUCGGCUCGUAAAACACUGUUAUAAGAGAAGAACGACAUUGAGAGUAACUGUUCAGUGUGUGACGGUAUCUUAUCAGAAAGGAACGGCUAAAUACGUGCCAGCAGCCGCGGUAAUACGUAUGUUCCAAGCGUUAUCCGGAUUUAUUGGGCGUAAAGCGAGCGCAGACGGUUAUUUAAGUCUGAAGUGAAAGCCCUCAGCUCAACUGAGGAAGGGCUUUGGAAACUGGAUAACUUGAGUGCAGUAGAGGAAAGUGGAACUCCGUGUGUAGCGGUGAAAUGCGUAGAUAUAUGGAAGAACACCGGUGGCGAAAGCGGCUUUCUGGACUGUAACUGACGUUGAGGCUCGAAAGUGUGGGUAGCAAACAGGAUUAGAUACCCUGGUAGUCCACACCGUAAACGAUGAGUGCUAGAUGUUCGAGGGUUUCCGCCCUUGAGUGUCGCAGCUAACGCAUUAAGCACUCCGCCUGGGGAGUACGACCG
RNAcentral lists this ribosomal RNA (863 nucleotides) under uncultured bacterium. RNAcentral's name for it is "bacterial SSU rRNA". It matches the Rfam family "Bacterial small subunit ribosomal RNA", at positions 43 to 888 of the family's 1533-position model. The record is from RNAcentral.